Molecule: ribosomal RNA, 628 nt
Filed under: uncultured archaeon
Lineage: Archaea
Description: bacterial SSU rRNA
Rfam family: Archaeal small subunit ribosomal RNA
Source: RNAcentral
UCCGGUUGAUCCUGCCAGAGGCCGCUGCUAUCCGGCUGGGACUAAGCCAUGCUAGUCUAGGGGCUUGUACUCCUUCGGGGGUGCAAGCACCGGCGGACGGCUCAGUAACACGUGGACAACCUGCCCUCGGGUGGGGGAUAACCCCGGGAAACUGGGGCUAAUCCCCCAUAGGUGAUGGGUGCUGGAAUGCCCCAUCUCCGAAAGCGCUUAGCGCCCGAGGAUGGGUCUGCGGCGGAUUAGGUAGUUGGUGGGGUAACGGCCCACCAAGCCUAAGAUCCGUACGGGCUGUGGGAGCAGGAGCCCGGAGAUGGACCCUGAGACAAGGGUCCAGGCCCUACGGGGCGCAGCAGGCGCGAAACCUCCGCAAUACGGGAAACCGCGACGGGGUUAGUCGGAGUGCCCGUGCAUUGCACGGGCUGUCGGGGUGCCUAAACAGCACCCUAUAGCAAGGGCCGGGCAAGGCCGGUGGCAGCCGCCGCGGUAAGACCGGCGGCCCGAGUGGCGGCCACUCUUAUUGGGCCUAAAGCGUCCGUAGCCGGCCCAGUAAGUCCCCCGGGAAAUCUGGUCGCUUAACGAUCAGACUUCCGGGGGAUACUGCUGGGCUAGGGACCGGGAGAGGCCGUGGGUA